UACGUAGGGGGAAAGCGUUGUCCGGAUUUAUUGGGCGUACAGGGUGCGUAGGCGGCCGUGCAAGUCUGGCGUGAAAGCCCCGGGCUCAGCCCGGGAAGUGCGCUCGAAACUGCGCGGCUCGAGUGCCGGAGGGGAGAGUGGAAUUCCUGGUGUAGCGGUGAAAUGCGUAGAUAUCAGGAGGAAUACCGGUGGCGAAAGCGACUCUCUGGACGGCAACUGACGCUGAGGCACGAAAGCGUGGGGAGCAAACAGG
RNAcentral lists this ribosomal RNA (253 nucleotides) under uncultured bacterium. Its description in RNAcentral is "partial 16S ribosomal RNA". It matches the Rfam family "Bacterial small subunit ribosomal RNA", at positions 524 to 776 of the family's 1533-position model. The record is from RNAcentral.